UUGCUGGCCUUAAAAAAAAAAAUGAAUCCCAUUCCAGGCAGUUCCUGAAACUCCAACCUCUGCGCUCUCGAUCUCUCCGCCCAACACUCCAACUUCACUGUUUAAAACGCUUCCGUUUCGAUCCUCGAGAGAAUCUCUCUUUGCGUUUCGAUCCUACUCAAUGCGUUUUCUCUAAUUCUCAAUUUUCUUCUCAUCUUCAGGAUUCUUGGCUAGGGAAAAAAAAGGGAUUUCCAAUUGCUUGAUUUUUUCACGAUCAUCUAAUCGUUGAAACAUGAGUGCUUAUUUAGUUGGCGUUCUCGUCCCUCUUGCCGUCACUCUUUUCUUUAGGAAUUCUAAGAAAAGUGAGAAGAAACGUGGCUUGCCGGUCGAUGUUGGUGGUGAACCUGGGAUUGCUAUACGGAACUCUCGGUUUCCGACGCCCUUAGAAACUGCCUGGGAGGGCGUCUUUACCCUUGCUGAGCUUUUUGAGUACGCCUGCAAGAGGCACGGGGAUAAAUACUUGCUAGGAACGCGGAGAUUGAUUGCAAGAGAGAACGAAGUGGCCCCUGAUGGGAGGACUUUUGAGAAGCUUCAUUUGGGCGAGUACGAGUGGCUUACUUAUGCCAAGGUGUUUGAAAAAGUUUGUAACUUUGCUUCUGGGUUGGCUCAUAUUGGGCAUAGAAGGGAAGAACGUGUUGCCAUAUUUGCUGAUACCAGAGCAGAAUGGUUUAUUGCGCUGCAGGGUUGCUUUAGGCGCAAUGUCACUGUGGUUACCAUUUAUGCAUCUUUAGGAGAGGACGCUUUGUGCCACUCAUUAAACGAGACAGAGGUUACAACUGUCAUAUGUGGGAACAAAGAAUUGAAGAAACUUGUGGACAUAAGUGGACAACUUGACACAGUGAAACGAUUGAUUUGUAUGGAUGAUGAAAUUCCAUCGAGUGCAUCAGUGGAGCAGAGUGGGCAAUGGACAAUCACUUCACUUUCUAAUGUGGAGAAACUUGGUCAAGAAAAUCCUGCUAAAGCUGACUUACCUCAAUCAGCUGAUAUUGCUGUAAUAAUGUACACAAGCGGAAGUACUGGGUUGCCCAAGGUUUGGAGCAUCUAUAAUAUGUUAUAGAUAUACUUUAUUAUAAGCUUGUGCAUGUUCACCUGAUUAAGUCUUGAUGGCUUCUCAUUGUUUUGUUGUUGAAUGGGGAGUAACUUGGACCAUUGCGUGAUUUUUGAAUGUACAGUUUGCAUGAUGUUUCUUUAGGUGGCCACAUCCAGGUAUUGUUGGCCUAGGCUCUACAAACUUAUCAUUAGAUGAUACCAUCUUGUUUUCCCAUUCCCUUCUCCUUCUGUUGGCUGUUAACUUUCUCAGAAAUCUAAUUGGUUGCAAAAAUAUGGUCCUAUCUCUUAUUCAAAUAUGUCUAUUUGCUAACUCAUGCUAGGAUGAGUUCAGGGAAAGAACUGUUAUGUUUUGCAUGAUCCUUUUUAAUCAUCUUCACAAAUUGGCACCUAGAUUUAUGUUCAUUCUGGAAGGACAUACCCGAAUUAAGGUUUGCUGUUGCCAGUUGCACAAAGUGUUUCAAAUUUCAUGAGCUGCUAAAGCUCAAGUGUAGUGUUCCUUAUGCAGUGCUCUUGCCAUUAGGAUCAUAGUUGUAUAUGUUGUUUAAAAUUUAUGGUGUGAGGAUAAAUAUCUUUUAUUUUUUUCUUAAAGAUCAAGCCGUACUGCAAAAUAAUUUUAUUUUUUUCGCUUGAAUUUGUCUACUGCUAAAUAUUUGAAAUUUUCACUAGUUAGUCAAGCUGUAUCAGAGUUGACAUAAUAUUUAUUUGCUUCCAUUGUGACAACCUUGCACAGGGUGUAAUGAUGACACAUGCAAAUGUCCUAGCUGUAGUUUCUUCAGUUAGGACAAUUGUUCCUGGCCUUGAGAGCAAUGAUGUUUAUCUGGCAUACCUGCCAUUGGCUCAUAUCCUUGAGUUAGCUGCUGAGAAUAUAGUAGCAGGUGUUGGAAGUGCUAUAGGAUAUGGAUCCCCUUUGACACUUACUGAUACAUCAAACAAGAUCAAAAGGGGAACAAAGGGGGAUGCCUCUGUCUUGAGGCCAACUGUGAUGGCAUCCGUCCCAGCAAUUCUUGAUCGUGUUCGAGAUGGUGUGCGCAAGAAGGUGGAUGCAACGGGUGGCCUCAGUAAGAAACUAUUUGACUUGGCAUAUGCCCGCCGGUUAUCUGCAUUGAAUGGUAGUUGGUUUGGAGCUUGGGGCCUAGAAAUGCUACUUUGGAACUUCCUUGUGUUUAGAAAGGUUCGAGCAGUUUUGGGAGGUCGUAUCCGUUUUUUGCUUUCUGGAGGUGCUCCUCUUUCUGGUGAUACUCAAAGAUUUAUCAACAUUUGCCUUGGGUUAGUAUGGCCUUAACAAAAUUUUAGCUAAUUUUUACACAUAAUAAGUGAAAAUCCCGGGAGAUUUAUGUAGUAUGAUGCUACACCCAAAAUUUCAUAUUUCCAUCCAUGAGUAUUAUUCAGGUCAAAAACAGGGUGAAUAUAAACUUGAUGCUGUAAAACUAUAAAUGAAGCCAACAGAUAAUUGCAGCAUAGCUUUUGAAAAUUAUGAUUGCAAAACUUGAACAUGGCAAACUUGGGGAUUCCUUCCUUUUUCCAAAUGAUUACUGUUGUGUGUGUGUGUGCGUUUGUACAAGUGGACAAUAGUGUAGAAUUGAGAAAUCUCAUUGGUUGUUUUGUCCAACACCUUUUCCACGAUGUUGAUAAAUCUCAUUAGGUGGAUUUUGAGCACCUUAGUCUAUUAUUUGCAAUUUGUUUAACAGUUGAAAAAGGGCUAGAUUCUUCUUAUAAAAAUGGAUAUUUAUAUUGACGAUGAACCACACCUUCCAAAAUAGUAUGAUGUCUAUUUAGAACUGAAACAUAAAACUAUAAUUUAUGUAUACAAAGCACCAUUUUUUUAUUUAAUUUCUUUCUAUAAAUAGUUUCAUUGGAUAAGUUCCAAAUCUUGUACGUUAGAAGCAUAGAAGAGUGUGUGUAAUGAAAAUUCUAUACAUAGGAGUAUUUCUGAUCCAUGCAAAGGAAAGAAAAUAUAACUUGGGUUCUUAUUGAGGCGAAGCCAAACCACUGGAAGGUUUUGGGGAAACUGAUGUAUAAUUUUAAUUUAACAUGCUCAAAAGAUUUUGAAAUUUCCGUAAUAAGAUCAUUGAGAUGAUAAACAUUUAUGCUUAAAUUAAUCAAGAAAAUAAAAGCCAUAUAUCCAUGAGUAGAUGAAAUUGUCCUCAUCAGUGUGAUGAAUGCAAUAAAAAUGAAGAUCCACAUGAUUAUCUUCCAAUUUUAUUUUGGUUUGGUGUUUUUCCUUUUUUGUGCUUCAGAGUUUUGUGAUGGUGAAUGUCAUACAGGGCUCCAAUAGGCCAAGGUUAUGGUCUUACUGAGACUUGUGCUGGCGGGACCUUUUCAGAGUUUGAUGAUUCAUCUGUUGGCCGAGUUGGUAAUCCAGUUCCUUCCUCAUUUAUUAAGGUGAGAAACAAUUAAAUUCAGUUAACUCUGCAAUUGACUUGACAAUUAUACCAGUUCAGACUGUCCUCAAAAUGUUUUUUUGUGAAUCACGAUAGGUAUUCAAGGGGAAUUAUUCCCAUAGUAGGCAUUUCACCUUUUAGUUUAUCUUUUUAAUUUGAAAAAACAAUGUGUGAGGAGUUACAGUUGCUAUCUGCAUCGUUUUAUGGAUUCUUAUGACCUUUUUUUUCCCCAUUUCUUUCUUUGUUCUAAAUCAUUCUCUGAGUUCAAACUCUUCAUUCUUGCCCAUGUGAUGCCAUGGUAUGAGACAUAGAGGAUGAGAUGAGGCUACUUAUUUACUUGGAAUUUUUACAAGCAUGUUUAAUACUUUAUAUGCAUAGCCUAGAGGCAUUAGUAGAUUUAGUUGAUUGGUAGAUGCAUAAUUAGAAAACUCUGAAAGUAUUAGACACUGAUAUUUGAACGAGGAUUUUUCUGGUGAUUGAAGAAGUUUCAGAAAGUUCUAAACUUCGCUAUUAGCAUAAUUUUCAAAUCUGAUCUUGUUAUUCUGAAAUUUGAAUUUCGACCUUAUUGCAUAUUUGUUGCUUAAAGCAUUCUUGUCAGUUAAUGGCUGCGUGUCUACAUGUUCAUGUAUGUUAACUUGAUGAAGAAAGGGCCAUCUUCCAUGGUAGGGUUCUUGGGAUUUAACUUUAUUUAUUUAUUUAUUUUGUUGAAAAUUGGGUAUAACUUUGAUUGUAAGCUUUUAUGAAUCCUCCUUAUGAUUUAAUUUUGUGCAUUCUAGAUGGUAAUUCUGAUUCUUACAUUGCUAAUUUUCACUUCUAUUAGGCAAAAAUGAAUCAUUUUGAAAUAUCAACCCGUUCUCUCUCUCUUUUAUGACUACUUUAUUCUCCCUAUUCUCUCAGCCAUGUAGCACUGCUUGACUGUAUCUUAAAGAUUAUUAAUGCUCUUGAUAUGAAGUCUUGUCAUGUGACACUUUCUGUGUGAGAUUUUGCCCAUAAUGAAUUAUACUUUUGUUUUUGAUAAUCUCAUAUCAUGAUUAUUGCAAUCAGCUGAUAUUUUUUUCUUCGGCAGUUAAUAGAUUGGCCUGAAGGUGGAUAUUUAACUAGUGAUUCACCAAUGCCACGUGGAGAAAUAGUUAUUGGCGGUCCUAAUGUAACAGUUGGCUAUUUCAAGAAUGAAGAGAAAACGAAGGAAGUGUACAAGGUAAAAUUUCAAAGUUUCAUAGUAGUCUAUAUUUUGUGCAGCCACAUGCUGAGGAAAAUGGCGUCAUGUUAAAUACGCCAAUUUUUUGUUGUGAAAAGGUUGAUGAGAGAGGAAUGAGGUGGUUCUACACAGGUGACAUUGGGCAGUUUCAUGCUGAUGGUUGCCUUGAGAUAGUUGACCGUAAAAAGGACAUAGUCAAACUUCAACAUGGUGAAUAUGUGUCUUUAGGAAAGGUAUGAAUAUUUGAAGUUAUAGUGAAACUUUUUCAUUGCAAUUUCUUUGGGACUGAUGUUUUCUCUACAGGUUGAGGCUGUUCUUACCGUGAGCCCAUAUGUUGACAACAUGAUGCUGCAUGCUGACCCAUUUCACAGUUACUGUGUGGCCCUCGUGGUGGCGUCACAACCUGCCCUGGAAGAGUGGGCUUCAAAACAGGGAAUUGCCUUUUCUGAUUUUGCAGACCUGUGUGAGAAAAAAGAAACAAUGAAGGAAGUGCAAGCAUCAUUCCUCAAGGAAGCAAAGAAGUCACGUUUGGAGAAGUUUGAGAUCCCAGCAAAAAUUAAAUUGCUUUCUAAUCCUUGGACUCCUGAGUCUGGCCUUGUCACUGCAGCUCUCAAGAUCAAGAGGGAAGCCAUUAGGAAGGCCUUCUCCGAAGAACUCUCCAAGUUAUAUGAAUCAUGAGUUACGAGAACAUGUAUUUUUUAUUAUGAUUGUGCAGAAUUUGAAGGACAAGUUACCCAUCAUUGUUCCUCCU
RNAcentral lists this unclassified non-coding RNA (5419 nucleotides) under Hevea brasiliensis (rubber tree). The record is from RNAcentral. Lineage: Eukaryota; Viridiplantae; Streptophyta; Magnoliopsida; Malpighiales; Euphorbiaceae.